GCAAACUUGGUCAUUUAGAGGAAGUAAAAGUUGUAACAAGGUUUCCGUAGGUGAACCUGCGGAAGGAUCAUUAACAAAUCCAUAUGCGUGAGAGGGGCGACCCUCUUGCGAAUAUUAUACCGCCGGUCGCGAGACUGGUUGGAAAUAAAUGCGUGAUGUGUUGACAGUGUGUGAGUGAUUUAAUUAUUGACAACUUUUAACAAUGGAUCUCUAGGCUCUUGCAUCGAUGAAGAACGCAGC
Molecule: unclassified non-coding RNA, 240 nt
Filed under: uncultured fungus
Lineage: Eukaryota; Fungi
Description: partial contains small subunit ribosomal RNA, internal transcribed spacer 1, and 5.8S ribosomal RNA
Rfam family: Eukaryotic small subunit ribosomal RNA (bases 1-73)
Source: RNAcentral